Molecule: ribosomal RNA, 452 nt
Filed under: uncultured Alphaproteobacteria bacterium
Lineage: Bacteria; Pseudomonadati; Pseudomonadota; Alphaproteobacteria
Description: bacterial SSU rRNA
Rfam family: Bacterial small subunit ribosomal RNA
Source: RNAcentral
GAGUUUGAUCUUGGCUCAGAGCGAACGCUGGCGGCAGGCCUAACACAUGCAAGUCGAGCGCCCAGCAAUGGGAGCGGCAGACGGGAGAGUAACACGUGGGAACGUGCCCUUCAGUUCGGAACAACCAAGGGAAACUUUGGCUAAUACCGGAUACGCCCUUACGGGGAAAGAUUUAUCGCUGAAGGAUCGGCCCGCGUCUGAUUAGCUAGUUGGUGGGGUAAUGGCCCACCAAGGCUACGAUCAGUAGCUGGUCUGAGAGGAUGAUCAGCCUCACUGGGACUGAGACACGGCCCAGACUCCUACGGGAGGCAGCAGUGGGGAAUAUUGGACAAUGGGCGCAAGCCUGAUCCAGCCAUGCCGCGUGGAUGAUGAAGGCCCUAGGGUUGUAAAGUCCUUUUAACGGGGAAGAUAAUGACGGUACCCGUAGAAUAAGCCCCGGCUAACUUCGUGCC